Homo sapiens (human) is the source of this 1399-nucleotide long non-coding RNA. Ensembl annotates it as vanin 3, pseudogene. Its record names the gene VNN3P. The record is from Ensembl. Lineage: Eukaryota; Metazoa; Chordata; Mammalia; Primates; Hominidae.
AUGAUUAUAUCACAUUUUCCAAAAUGUGUGGCAGUUUUUGCCCUCCUUGCUCUGAGUGUUGGUGCACUGGACACUUUUAUUGCUGCAGUAUAUGAGCAUGCGGUGAUAUUACCAAACAGAACAGAAACACCUGUUUCAAAAGAAGAAGCUUUGCUCCUGAUGAACAAGAACAUAGAUGUUUUGGAGAAAGCAGUUAAGCUGGCAGCGAAGCAGGGUGCACAUAUCAUUGUGACCCCAGAAGAUGGAAUCUAUGGUUGGAUCUUCACCAGGGAGAGCAUUUACCCCUAUCUAGAGGAUAUACCAGACCCUGGAGUGAACUGGAUUCCAUGUAGAGACCCCUGGAGAAAUCACUAAAAUAUAGUAAGUUUGAGGAAAUGUCUAUUGAAUUAGAUUCGGCAACACACCAGUGCAACAAAGACUCAGCUGCCUGGCCAAGGACAACUCUAUCUAUGUCGUGGCUAAUAUUGGGGACAAGAAGCCAUGCAAUGCCAGUGACUCUCAGUGUCCCCCUGAUGGCCGUUACCAAUACAACACUGAUGUGGUGUUUGAUUCUCAGGGAAAACUGUUGGCACGCUACCAUAAGGGAGUGGAAUCUACGCCCCAGAAGCAGUCAAGGUGUACCACUAUGACAUGGAAACAGAGAGUGGUCAGCUGUUGCUAUCAGAACUGAAGUCUCGGCCCCGCCGUGAGCCCACCUACCCUGCAGCUGUUGACUGGCAUGCGUAUGCCAGCAGUGUCAAGCCAUUUUCCUCUGAACAGUCAGAUUUUCUGGGGAUGAUUUAUUUUGAUGAGUUUACCUUCACCAAGCUUAAGAGAAAUACAGGAAAUUACACAGCUUGCCAGAAAGAUCUGUGUUGUCACUUAACUUACAAGAUGUCUGAGAAGCGAACAGACGAGAUCUAUGCCCUAGGUGCUUUUGAUGGACUGCACACAGUAGAAGGCCAAUAUUACUUACAGAUAUGUGCAUUACUGAAGUGUCAAACCACUGACCUGGAAACGUGUGGAGAACCUGUGGGGUCAGCUUUUACCAAGUUUGAAGACUUCUCCCUCAGUGGCACAUUUGGAACGCGUUAUGUUUUCCCACAGAUCAUUCUAAGUGGGAGUCAGCUUGCCCCUGAAAGACAUUAUGAGAUUUCAAGAGAUGGACGCUUGAGGAGCCGAAGUGGAGCCCCUUUGCCUGUCUUAGUUAUGGCCCUGUAUGGAAGAGUGUUUGAGAAGGACCCUCCACGCUUAGGGCAGGGAUCUGGGAAAUUCCAGUGAUCUCCUUUAGCAGAGCCCUUUUAGGAUUAGCCUGGCUAAGAAAGGAAGAAAAAAAAGAGAUCCGUUAGUGUCUGUUUAGAAAAGAUGUUAUAAACUUACAGAAACAAAUAUAAUAAACUGAAGCAGAUUUGAAAAGCAA